Molecule: ribosomal RNA, 161 nt
Filed under: Graphiola sp.
Lineage: Eukaryota; Fungi; Basidiomycota; Exobasidiomycetes; Exobasidiales; Graphiolaceae
Description: partial large subunit ribosomal RNA
Rfam family: Eukaryotic large subunit ribosomal RNA
Source: RNAcentral
CGGGAAGAGCUCAAAUUUGAAAGCUGGCAGUAAUGUCCGCGUUGUAAUCUCGAGAAGUGUUUUCCGUGCUGGACCAUGGACAAGUUCCCUGGAAUGGGAUGUCAUAGAGGGUGAGAACCCCGUACUUGCUGUGGACGCCCAGUGCUUUGUGAUACACUUUC